RNAcentral lists this unclassified non-coding RNA (315 nucleotides) under fungal sp. RNAcentral describes it as "partial internal transcribed spacer region". The stretch from base 1 to 96 matches the Rfam family "Eukaryotic small subunit ribosomal RNA", at positions 1736 to 1831 of the family's 1831-position model. The record is from RNAcentral. Lineage: Eukaryota; Fungi.
AAGUCAUUGAUUUGAGAAUUGAAUCAAACUUGCUCAUUUAGAGGAAGUAAAAGUCGUAACAAGGUCUCCGUAGGUGAACCUGCGGAGGGAUCAUUCACAUGAUUACCUUUUCAACAAACUGUGAACCUUUUAAUCUAUUCGUGUGUGUUGUUUGAUCUUCGGAUCAUUCUCAAUAUCACACUGUCAUUCGAUGAACAUUAGAUAGCUGGCUUGAUUUUCGAAUCUUUCUCAGCUGAUUGUUUUUGAAUUUAAUUACUCGAUACAAUCAACCAACAAACAUAGAAACAACUCUAUGCCCUGGAUAUCUUGGUUCUC